Molecule: ribosomal RNA, 1361 nt
Filed under: uncultured bacterium
Lineage: Bacteria
Description: bacterial SSU rRNA
Rfam family: Bacterial small subunit ribosomal RNA
Source: RNAcentral
AUUGAACGCUGGCGGCAGGCCUAACACAUGCAAGUCGAGCGGUAGCACAGAGAGCUUGCUCUCGGGUGACGAGCGGCGGACGGGUGAGUAAUGUCUGGGAAACUGCCUGAUGGAGGGGGAUAACUACUGGAAACGGUAGCUAAUACCGCAUAACGUCGCAAGACCAAAGUGGGGGACCUUCGGGCCUCAUGCCAUCAGAUGUGCCCAGAUGGGAUUAGCUAGUAGGUGGGGUAACGGCUCACCUAGGCGACGAUCCCUAGCUGGUCUGAGAGGAUGACCAGCCACACUGGAACUGAGACACGGUCCAGACUCCUACGGGAGGCAGCAGUGGGGAAUAUUGCACAAUGGGCGCAAGCCUGAUGCAGCCAUGCCGCGUGUGUGAAGAAGGCCUUCGGGUUGUAAAGCACUUUCAGCGGGGAAGAAGGCGGUGAGGUUAAUAACCUUGUCGAUUGACGUUACCCGCAGAAGAAGCACCGGCUAACUCCGUGCCAGCAGCCGCGGUAAUACGGAGGGUGCAAGCGUUAAUCGGAAUUACUGGGCGUAAAGCGCACGCAGGCGGUCUGUCAAGUCGGAUGUGAAAUCCCCGGGCUCAACCUGGGAACUGCAUUCGAAACUGGCAGGCUAGAGUCUUGUAGAGGGGGGUAGAAUUCCAGGUGUAGCGGUGAAAUGCGUAGAGAUCUGGAGGAAUACCGGUGGCGAAGGCGGCCCCCUGGACAAAGACUGACGCUCAGGUGCGAAAGCGUGGGGAGCAAACAGGAUUAGAUACCCUGGUAGUCCACGCCGUAAACGAUGUCGAUUUGGAGGUUGUGCCCUUGAGGCGUGGCUUCCGGAGCUAGCGCGUUAAAUCGACCGCCUGGGGAGUACGGCCGCAAGGUUAAAACUCAAAUGAAUUGACGGGGGCCCGCACAAGCGGUGGAGCAUGUGGUUUAAUUCGAUGCAACGCGAAGAACCUUACCUGGUCUUGACAUCCACAGAACUUUCCAGAGAUGGAUUGGUGCCUUCGGGAACUGUGAGACAGGUGCUGCAUGGCUGUCGUCAGCUCGUGUUGUGAAAUGUUGGGUUAAGUCCCGCAACGAGCGCAACCCUUAUCCUUUGUUGCCAGCGGUUAGGCCGGGAACUCAAAGGAGACUGCCAGUGAUAAACUGGAGGAAGGUGGGGAUGACGUCAAGUCAUCAUGGCCCUUACGACCAGGGCUACACACGUGCUACAAUGGCAUAUACAAAGAGAAGCGACCUCGCGAGAGCAAGCGGACCUCAUAAAGUAUGUCGUAGUCCGGAUUGGAGUCUGCAACUCGACUCCAUGAAGUCGGAAUCGCUAGUAAUCGUAGAUCAGAAUGCUACGGUGAAUACGUUCCCGGGCCU